UACGUAGGGGGCUAGCGUUGUCCGGAAUCAUUGGGCGUAAAGAGCGUGUAGGCGGUCCGGUAAGUCCGCUGUGAAAGUCGGGGGCUCAACCCUCGAAUGCCGGUGGAUACUGUCGGUCUAGAGUGCGGAAGAGGCGAGUGGAAUUCCUGGUGUAGCGGUGAAAUGCGCAGAUAUCAGGAGGAACACCAAUGGCGAAGGCAGCUCGCUGGGACGGUACUGACGCUGAGACGCGAAAGCGUGGGGAGCAAACAGG
This 253-nucleotide ribosomal RNA is filed under the name uncultured bacterium. Its description in RNAcentral is "partial 16S ribosomal RNA". It matches the Rfam family "Bacterial small subunit ribosomal RNA", at positions 524 to 776 of the family's 1533-position model. The record is from RNAcentral.